Eptatretus burgeri (inshore hagfish) is the source of this 4432-nucleotide long non-coding RNA. The record is from Ensembl. NCBI's taxonomy places the organism in Eukaryota, Metazoa, Chordata, Myxini, Myxiniformes, Myxinidae.
ACAGAGUUCCCCGACACAUUGAAACAGUGCCAACAAUUCGGGCACAGUGUAUCCUGGCGUUUAGAAAAUGGCAGCAAGCUUCAUUCAGAUGCCAGGCACGGGUGGUGGAGACAGGGUGGGGGAGGGAGCGUGGGCGAGGGUUGGGAGAUGUGGGGCAUGGCUGUGCGGUGCGGUGUGCCCCGUUUGCCUCUGUUGGCACUGGCCCAGCGUCUCCCUGCCCGGUACUCUCGUUGUUAUUUUAAUUGCCAUCUUCUCUGCGACAUUCCUUGGCACGAUGUACCAUGGUGUCUGCUUUUCCCUGCCGUUUCCACGUCGCCUCCUUGUGCGGCCUUGGCAGCACCUCUGUUCGACUGACACUCUCCAUUUCCAGAAGGCCUCAAAGCAUCCUGGCCGCCAUUUCGCCUUCAUCGUCCCGACGUUGCACUUCCCUCUUGCCAAUCGUGUCACCCAGAUGGCCUUGUGGUUCUUGGCACUGCUGCCAUUCUAUCUAUGCCUGCCUGCCUGUCUGCCCAUUUUGCCUCUUCCCUAGUCUUUCCAGUCAUCACUCCAGCUUCCAGCAAUUCUUACCCCGCUUUUCAUCUCAAGAUGGCGGUCGAAGCAGGCGAAAUGGCGUCUCAAAGUGCAAGGGGUGCUACAAUGGAUGCCAAUGGCGAGGAUGGAUAUGAUUUUUGUGCCAGUAUCCACUGCCCAACUUGGAGAACAAAAUGGAGACAUCUGGAUACCUCAGUCAAAGAUGGCGGCUUUCCUGGAUGGCAAAUGAGAGUGAGCGGGGAUAGACAGAAAGACCUUCCACGACUUUACAAGAGGAUUCAUCAUGCGGUGGCUUUUGUAUUCAUGCCUUUAUUUCUCUUUUACUCUGCUGAGUUCAACACAGCGAACACAAUUUUCACCUCUGCAAUCGAAGGUGGAAGGAGGCCGUCUCGCCAGCCCUCCUCACCCGUCCCCCGUCUCUCGGCACGCUCACGGAUUGAUCGCCAGCUCCGUCUAGACAUGACGCGAGGUUCACUGCUAUUGUCACGCUGGGAAUGCCACGGUUAACCCGGGCCCGGUCCUCGUCGGGCACACCCGCCCCUCCUCAGGGAAUGGAGAUUUGCCCUCAUUAACGAGUGCAGAGGGGGGCAGGCUGAGUUGCAGAACAAAACAUGGCUGCCCGUUGUACACUGAUUUAGAAAGACAGGGUGUAUGAUGCGUGGCAAUGGCAACUUCUUCUCCUUGCUUGCUUCUCUUCGCCUUCUUAUUCCUCUUCUUUAGCAUUAUUUUUUCCACCAUACCUUGACACAAUUUGAAUGUUUUUAUGACAAACUUAUUACUGUAUCAAAAAAUAUAAAUAUUUAUUUAUUGUGUAAAGCUUCAAUGGCAUUGAUAAACAUGUUGAGGUCCAUCAUAGGGUCUUUUUAUCAUUUGUUUUUAAAAGAAAAAAAAACUUUGUAUAAAACAUCAAUUUCUUUUUGCAAAAGAUAAACAUGAAACACACACACUUCCUAGUGUGAAAUUUAUGCCCUUCCUACACUUCAAAUAUCAGUUUGAUUCAUUUAAUUGCUCCGAUUUUUGACUUACAUCGUACAUUCUUACAUACAACUCUUAAAAAGUGGUGAAAAUAAAUAUAUUAGGACUUGGAAAAAGCAUGCUAGGAAGUUACAUUUGUCAAAAUAUAUCAGCUUUUUUGGAAUAAAUUAUUGCAAAAGUUACGAUCCAUAAUUUAGUUUUAUUUACAGUCCCGUGUUAACUCUAUAACAUUGGCAUGUCCUCCAUCACUUUCCAUUUGGCCUUAAAAAAUAUAUUGAUUUCCUUAUUGCAGCUGAUGUAUUGGAUUGAGAUCGAAUCCUGAAUUCAGCCCACUGGUUCUCAAUUCAACAUGAUUGAGGUGCUGUUUUGCCACUGAUGUUAAAAUACCCUUGUACAUUCAAGCAGGAAUUUGAAAUUUGUUCAGGACACCGGUGAUAACACGCUCCUCUUUACUAAAGACACCGUGGGGUGUUUAAUGUCCACCAACUAAUGGUGGUAGAGGGACACUCGGCUAAGUGUCCAUAUAAGGGAUGUCGCACACAUUGAUACCUCGCUCUGCCUGUGAAAUAUCGGGCUGACAGUCUACAGCUGGGUCAGGCUUCAUACCCAGGCUAGAGAGCUCAGAGGUGAGUGUGUGUGCCUUUGAGCUAUCCUGCCAGCCCACUGACUUAUUGUACAGUGUUGGGAUCAUCACGUUGAAUAUAACUAAAAUCGUACUGCCUCCAUCGUUGUUGGCUGUAGCAGAGUAGGUUGUCACUGGAGCUAUGAGCUUUAACAUAAUGUAACUGUACAGUAAAUUAACAGUAAAAGGGGAUGCUUUGCAGAAAUUGAGGCCUUGUACUUAGAUUAGGAUUCGCACGGUUCAGCCAGUCAGAACGUUUCUUAUAAACUAUGUGGUGGUGGAAGGUCUACUCAGAUACCUCAUAUGCUGUGCACACCUAUAUGUGGUUAAAAUAAAAAUAUAAAAAAUCUCCACUCUCUUAUCUAUUAUCAUGGUAUUUUCUUUGCAGUUUUAAAAAUGCUUUUAAACCUCCGCACCUUUUCUCUUUAUGCCUAAUGAACCAGAUUUGUCUUUUCUUUGGUCUCAGUUAUAUUAUUUUUACGUGAUUUAAUGGACGACUGAACUGGGCAGACGUCUUUUAACCCAAAGCAACAUACGACUUAGAUUCAGGAAUAAAGAAGCAACAAAAGAUGAGAUUUUUGUACAAGUGGCCCCUCCCCCACCCACUCACUUGCCCCAGCCACCACGACCCCUCUUUUGGAUCAGAUUCAGGCAAUAUCCAUCACUUGGGAAAACAAACAUGCCAGGAAAUUAAAAGUGAAACAUUGGCAUUCAGACAACGUUGUGUCUUGGCCAUUCAAAGCCCCACUCUCAACUACACGCCCCCUCACACCCGCUUACUCCAACUCCUAACUCUCACACUCAACCUGAGAACCCCAUGCCCCCCCCUCCCACUUUCCACAUAUUUAUUAAACUCCAUUCAAACCCAUACAAAUGUCUGGAAAUGUGCUGUAUAAUUAAACUGGAACGAUGAUUGGUUCCAGUUAUUAUUUGGUGUGCAAAGUAAAUGAAAAGUCUCGGUGAACCUUCCCUUUGUGACGUUCAAAGUUGUUGGCUAUGUGAUAAUGAAUUGCUCAGCAAAUGUUGGUCUUGUUAACAGGCAAGUGCUCGUGGAAUAUUAAGCCAUAUUUCGUGAUGUUGCACAAAGUGGUUUGCAACGUUUCAUUUUGUGCCUUUCGCUUUCUGAUAUUUCGAUUUGUGACAUUGUCGGUUUCAUGAAAAUGAAUCUUUGUUGAAACUGCUUUCUAGGAAUAAGUGUUUUUGAGUUAUUAAAGAUACUAAAUUUGUGACGUUUCGGUUUGUCUCAAUUUUGCCAUGUGCAGUCGUGACAGAACAUACAUGUGUGUUUUUAAAGAGAAGCACUGUCCAACAACCUUGCAUGUGCGUGUGCAGUUUUAGCUUACUUGGACAUUGUCUUACAGAUGUGCUGCACAGAUUAACAUCUGCUUAUUCUACUUUGUGAGGUUUGGCUUUUUCUUUUAUUCUUUGUGACAUUUACAUCCAAGCAUCAGACGUUUAUCAUUAUAUGAAGGAAAAGCCUUCAUGAAAAUGUAGCAAAUUUUUCUGCAUUUAUGUCAGAAUGGCAGAGAUACAUGUACAGCGAGCUAUAUCUUCGGGCAAUUCUUUGCAACUUCUUGUGAUGUUUAGGGAUCAUGUCCAAAAUAUUGGAGUUUCUGUUUUCGGCAUAAAGCGUUCAGCACUUCGUCCAAAAUUUCAGCUUUGUAUGACGAAGUGUUCCGUUGGUUAAUGGACAGGUUAGAGUGACCAACAUGCAGUGAAGCAAACUUGUCUGAAGUUUACAACCACAUUCAAGAAAGGUAUUUAUUGUGAACAAUUUCAUCAUCUAUACUGUAUAAAACAGGCAUGGAAGGUAAACUUGUUUUUAAGCUCGAAUCGCGUCGAUAUUUAAAUUACUUAUUGGGAGACAAAGUUCGUAUGAAUGCGGCGUCUGGACCUUGGCCCAGGCACCAGCCGCAGUGGGAGAACGUUAACCUGGCUGGCACAGGUAGUCCCUCUGCAAUGAGUUAUUUGCUUCUUGGCCCAGGCACGUCCCGCAUCGGGUGAACGUUAAACCAGAGCACGUGGUCCCUGCAGCAAGGUGUCCGACUAAGGAGAAACAAGAUGCACAUAAAAUGCAUUAAUGUGUCUCAUCCAAAAGCUCCUGUAGACAUAACCGUUUUAUUGGUAGUGCGUUGAAACACGGUGAAAAUCACAAAGGUAAGUGGCUCUGUCACAGCUUUUGCACACUAAAGUUCAAUACAGGUGCAGCAGUAACAAUCUCGUGUUUCAGGAGAAAUGGCUCACCUUGACAAGGGGGGAGGGGAAGAAUGUGUUGUGCACUGUUUAGUUUAAGUAUAUCUAUGU